CUUUUAUCCCGUGGUGAUUUGGCCGGUCGGCUUGCAGCCACGUAAAAAAAGUCGCUAAAAAGGCCGCGCUCGAUCCCGA
RNAcentral lists this non-coding RNA (79 nucleotides) under Nitratireductor pacificus pht-3B. RNAcentral describes it as "Nitratireductor sp. Pht-3B Alpha-proteobacteria SAM riboswitch aptamer". It matches the Rfam family "Alpha-proteobacteria SAM riboswitch aptamer". From Rfam's summary of the family: This family is a riboswitch found predominantly in alpha-proteobacteria that binds S-adenosyl methionine (SAM). This SAM riboswitch is located upstream of the metA and metC genes in Agrobacterium tumefaciens, and other methionine and SAM biosynthesis genes in other alpha-proteobacteria. Like the other SAM riboswitch, it probably functions to turn off expression of these genes in response to elevated SAM levels. Lineage: Bacteria; Pseudomonadati; Pseudomonadota; Alphaproteobacteria; Hyphomicrobiales; Phyllobacteriaceae. RNAcentral also lists the same sequence under 1 other name. The record is from Rfam by way of RNAcentral.